RNAcentral lists this long non-coding RNA (2046 nucleotides) under Phaseolus vulgaris (common bean). RNAcentral's name for it is "long non-coding RNA (PVUL_LNC001044)". Lineage: Eukaryota; Viridiplantae; Streptophyta; Magnoliopsida; Fabales; Fabaceae. The record is from RNAcentral.
UGAUUCUCAAAUUUAUUUUUGGAUGACGCUCUUUCCGUGAGACUGGUUAUAUUCCCCUGUUUCAUGUUGUGUACUGUGCUUAUUGAUAUUAUUUACCAGUGUGAUUUGAAAUGUUCAUGAUCUUUUUUAUGCAUGGUAAGAUGCAAAUGUUUUGUUUUAACCUUAAAGACCAUGAACUUAAUCAAUAUAUUGCUUGUGUCACAUCCCCCACAAAAAAAAGCUGACUAUUUUUAGAUUAUCUAUACUUGCAAUAUUUAAUACAACGAAGCAUUCUUGUAAUAUAAAAGCACAAAUUUGGAGUAACAUUGAAUGAGUUGCUGGACUUCUUACAUUUCAUGCCAGGAGUGGGAUAACCAAAUAGCUUGAAUAUAACUUUGUUGGGGUACAAAGUCACCAAUUUAAUAGAUAUAUGUGUCUUGCCUUUUAUAAUUUUAUUUUACUUUUACUGGUCUUCACAAGCUUUUCAUGUUUAUAAAUAUAAUUUCUCUAUGCCAUCAAUGUUAUCUUCCUUCUACUAUAUCUCAAUACUAUCAAUUAAAAUGUAUUAACAGUAUUAAUGUUUGUUAGGUCCGUUAAUACGUUUUAAUUGAUAGUAUUGCUGAGAGAUUUAGGAAGUUAGUUUUUUAUAUAAGUUAGUUUGUUGGGCUGAGAUAGAGAGGAAUUAAGGCAGAUUGUCUAUAAAUAAAUGGGAAGGUUGAAAUAGAGAUAGUCUUGUCAUACGAACUAACAAGAAAAGAAUAUAAGAAAGUUAGAAGAAUUAGGAGAAACUAUAAACCCAUCAAAACAACCCAUUGGCAUUCUGGAUAAAAAAUCUGAACAUUAGAAGCAAAAAUGAAGUUCUGAGGGUCAAGAAUCAUGGUGGCAGAGAUGACUCUGAGUCUGAUGGGUUGUUUUGGGGUUGCUAAGAGGAUUCGGAGAAGUCCUGUAGUUGAUAUGGAGGCAGAAAGCAAGGAACAUCAUGCUGGGUAAAACAUCCCUUAAACCAGAAACAGAAACAAAUCUAGACAUCAUGAAUCAGAAUCAGGUGGUGGAGAAAAAACAUCAAGGAAACAAAAGAGACAGAGAACAACCUCCCUUUUGAUAAUGGCAAGAACAAAAUUUUCUAUCAAUCUGGUUAGAAGUGUUGUGAAUAUGCAGAGAAAGAAUAGGGAGGAAGAAACUGAUAGGCCAAUAGCCAGAUGGAGAAGCAAUAUGAAAGGAAAACAGAGGGAAAUAUGCAGGUUGCCAUUGUGACGACCACCUUUUGGGUUGCAGAUGGAAAAGCAAACUCAGAUUUAGGUAAGAAAAUGGAACUGAAGAUUGAGAAGGAAACCAAUCCAACGGGUGGAACGAUGGGGAGUAGAAAAUGUUUCGGGUACUAGAAGCCGCACCACAACCGCCGGAACUUCUAGACUUGGUUUCUCCAAAAGAGGCUGAUGUUUUAUUUAGUAGUUGAAAAGGUCCUAUAGGAUGUGAAAGAUCUAACAUGUUCAAUCCAAGAAACUCAAGAAUAAUAAUGGAAAUGACCCAUGAUAGUUUAGAUCAUCAAGAAAAGAAACAAUAAACAGAAGAUGAAAUGACAAAACAUGGAAAGAUUAGUAUUUGGCAUCAACUAAAAAACACUGUUGAUGUUGAUGAAGAAAAUCUUGACUAUCGAUGAAUGAAAAAUAACAUAACAUUGAAAUUUUAGUUUCUCUUAAAAUUUACUUCUUUAACAACAUAUUUUGUCUUUAAGCAUCUCAAAUUUCCCUAUUCUAGCAUCUUAUUUUUUUUAGAAUGUGCAAGGAAUAUUUUGAGAAUAUUCUAGAAAACUCUUUUAAGGAAAGAUUGUAUUCUCAGCAUAUUUUAAAAUAAGAGUUACAUUAUCACAAAGAAGAUUUGUACUGUCUAAAUUAUGCCUUUCCAUUAUCACGUUAGUAGUUUUUCCUAUUUUACUAAGUUUAUUAAUUGCAGAUUAUAUGUAAGAUGGAUCAAUCUUCUUCUAGUAAUGCUUUACAGUUUAUUGUUCUAGCAAUAUUAUUUCUCAAUUUACACAAUUUGAAUAACCUCUUUUUAUAUAUUGUUGCA